UCCGGCUGCCUCUCGCGGGGCACUAUCCCCCGAAGCGGAAGAAGUGAUGGGGGUGUCUGCCAAGGGAACGAGUGGCAUUUCAAAUCUGGCAGGAAGAAAGAGAAACGCGAAAUUCACAGAGCCGACCGCGAUUGGUCGCGCCUCCUGUGACGUGCAGCGGCAGAGGCCGAAGGGAUUCCCGGUCGGCCUCGCGGGAAAGAGGCGGGGAAGGCAGAUAGACGUUACCUUAAGUAUGGCGCUUGUCGCGUCUGAAACUCUAGGUCUUCCCUUUUUAAUCUGUUUAUCGUUUGUUUCCUAAUCCUCAUUUAAUACGAUGUAAGGCCAGGGACUUUGCUUCUCAGUGCCUCGCACAUAGUAGGCACUCAAGUACUCGUUCCCUGAAAUACUACGAAUUAACUUCACAUAUGAAAAUAACCGACAGAACGCGGGUGACAACGGUCAAACGUUUGUUAGAAAUUUACUGUGUGCCAGUCACCUAAACCGAAACCCUGAACUCUUCAUCAGCAAAAAUGUUUUGUGGCAGGCAGAAGGGCCUCCUCACAGAGAUUUCUGCCACAUCGCAGGAAGCCACAGAUGUCUUCGACCCUCAAGCCAGCCAGUCACCAUGAUUGGAAGGGCCAGGCCUGUCAGGACUGAAAUCAAAAGCCUGAAAACCAACACCAGAGUGGACAAAGAACAUCUUAGAAUCCUUGUGGGGACCAGUGAUGCAAAGAUCUGGUGUCUCCUGCUUCUCAUUUUGGCACUUCAGAAGUUCCUUCCCUGGACCCAUCCCUGACGAAGGGUUUCAGCCUCCAUUGAUAAGAUUAUUGUUACUGCAGCCAAGUGGGGGCUUAAAAUAGUAAUAAAGCUCAGUUACAGAAAAAAAUUCUAUUUCUUACACAUUGGAGUUUGUAGACUGAAGUUUAUUCCUGCUACAGUAUUCAGGAGUAUUAUAUAGUAACCAUAAAUUUUUAAGUUCAAUAUUAUGAGACGUUUCCCUUCACUCAAAGAUCAUGGGGUUUUAUUUGUUUAUAUUUUUAUUUGGCACCUAUAGUUAAGAACACAGCUGAGAGAAACUAACACCACCUUACCUGGCAUCAUCACCUUAUUAGCUUAUGAGCUUAUCUAGGUUAGGGCCAGACAUUUCCUUUGAAUCCCCCACGGUCACUGGCAUGCACAGUGCUUGCACUUGGUAGGUGCUCAGUAAAUAUUGAAUGAAUCAUAAAAUGUGUACUGAGAACUUUAGGUAUUGAUUCCUCUUGUUCGUGGUGUAAUAUUUAAGAUAUUUAUGUUACAAAUAUUUUACCAUCGUCAAAAAUACAUUCACGCAUAAAGAGCUUCAAAGUGAAUGUAACAAAAAACACUUCACAUUUUGGACCUGUGUUUUUAGCUAUUUAGAACCACAGUUCUGCUUUGAGUUUCAAAAAACUACCUUCAGUACCAUAAAAAUAAUGAUUAUAUUUUUAUUGUCAUUUCUCAUUCCUUUUACAACAGAUUAUCAUAAAGAUGCACUUACAUAAACUACCUACUGGCUUUCCUGUAAAACCCAUCUCAUAAGACACUUGUUUCAUCAGCCCCUUGACACAGUGUCUCAUAUCUUUGUCUUCUCAGCACCUAGCGCAGUGCCUGGUACAAAGUAUAAGAACAGAAAGUGUGUGCUGAAUGAAUAUGAGUAAACAUAUCCCAUUAAGUCAAUAGUUCUCAAAAUUGAGUGAGCAUUAGAGUCACCUGUAGAGCUUGUAAAAAAACUCUGCUGGGCCCUCUACCUUCAAGUUUCUGACUUACGAGGUUUUGAGUAGGGGCACGGGGAUUUGCAUUUCCAACAGAUUUCCAAGAUGGUGAUGGUACUGCUGAUACCCGUCAUACUUUUCACACCAUUGAACUAAAUUAAGCUGCUUGAGGACAGGAGCUGUGUCUUCAUUUCAGGAUCCCGAGCUGCCUCUGCCAUAGGACCUAGCACAUAGGAGCUAUUUAGUUGAUUUGAAUAACUGUUCAAAAGUUUAUUUUAUUGAAUCUAGAUUACAAGUGUAUGAAUAUAUGUGUAUAUUAUUAAAUAAACUAAUACAUGUAAAAGUCUUAAAACAUGGUCCAUAUUAAACUAUGUUUGCCAAAAAUAA
This is a long non-coding RNA of Pteropus alecto (black flying fox), 2096 nucleotides long. RefSeq lists it as uncharacterized. The transcript is spliced from 3 exons. The record is from RefSeq and is a predicted model, not a curated record. Lineage: Eukaryota; Metazoa; Chordata; Mammalia; Chiroptera; Pteropodidae.